AGCUCAUUUCUCUACUGGUGAUAAAUCCGAUAGUAGUGCUUAUCACCGGGAGUAAAUGUGCUCU
Molecule: non-coding RNA, 64 nt
Organism: Caenorhabditis brenneri
Lineage: Eukaryota; Metazoa; Nematoda; Chromadorea; Rhabditida; Rhabditidae
Source: Rfam